CCUACGGGAGGCAGCAGUAGGGAAUCUUCCACAAUGGACGAAAGUCUGAUGGAGCAACGCCGCGUGAGUGAAGAAGGGUUUCGGCUCGUAAAGCUCUGUUGGUAGUGAAGAAAGAUAGAGGUAGUAACUGGCCUUUAUUUGACGGUAAUUACUUAGAAAGUCACGGCUAACUACGUGCCAGCAGCCGCGGUAAUACGUAGGUGGCAAGCGUUGUCCGGAUUUAUUGGGCGUAAAGCGAGCGCAGGCGGUUUCUUAGGGCUGAUGUGAAAGCCUUCGGCUUAACC
Molecule: ribosomal RNA, 284 nt
Filed under: uncultured bacterium
Lineage: Bacteria
Description: partial 16S ribosomal RNA
Rfam family: Bacterial small subunit ribosomal RNA
Source: RNAcentral